GUGCUCCCUUCAGCAGCACAUAGACUAAAAUUGGAAUAAUACUGAGAAGAUUAGCCUGGCCCCUGCUCAAUAAUGACACAAAAGUUUGUGAAGCAUUCCACAUUUUU
Gorilla gorilla gorilla (western lowland gorilla) is the source of this 107-nucleotide small nuclear RNA. Lineage: Eukaryota; Metazoa; Chordata; Mammalia; Primates; Hominidae. The record is from Ensembl.